UCGAGAAUCUUCCGCAAUGGGCGAAAGCCUGACGGAGCGAUGCCGCGUGAGGGAUGAAGGCCUUCGGGUUGUAAACCUCUGUCGCCCGGGACGAAAUAAAUGACGGUACCGGGAGAGGAAGCUACGGCUAACUACGUGCCAGCAGCCGCGGUAAUACGUAGGUAGCGAGCGUUAUUCGGAUUACCUGGGCGUAAAGGGUCCGUAGGAGGCCUGUCAAGUCGGAUGUGAAAGCCCAAGGCUCAACCUUGGAACUUCAUCCGAAACUGCCGGGCUAGAGUGCAUGAGGGGUAGACGGAAUUCCUGGUGUAGCGGUGGAAUGCGUAGAUAUCAGGAGGAACACCGGUGGCGAAGGCGGUCUACUGGCAUGCAACUGACUCUCAGGGACGAAAGCGUGGGGAGCAAACA
This 405-nucleotide ribosomal RNA is filed under the name uncultured prokaryote. RNAcentral describes it as "bacterial SSU rRNA". It matches the Rfam family "Bacterial small subunit ribosomal RNA", at positions 355 to 774 of the family's 1533-position model. The record is from RNAcentral.